UACGUAGGUCCCGAGCGUUGUCCGGAUUUAUUGGGCGUAAAGCGAGCGCAGGUGGUUUAUUAAGUCUGGUGUAAAAGGCAGUGGCUCAACCAUUGUAUGCAUUGGAAACUGGUAGACUUGAGUGCAGGAGAGGAGAGUGGAAUUCCAUGUGUAGCGGUGAAAUGCGUAGAUAUAUGGAGGAACACCGGUGGCGAAAGCGGCUCUCUGGCCUGUAACUGAUACUGAGGCUCGAAAGCGUGGGGAGCAAAUAGG
This 252-nucleotide ribosomal RNA is filed under the name uncultured bacterium. RNAcentral's name for it is "partial 16S ribosomal RNA". It matches the Rfam family "Bacterial small subunit ribosomal RNA", at positions 524 to 776 of the family's 1533-position model. The record is from RNAcentral.